GAAAUGGCUUUGACAGGAACAAGUAGUCCCGUUAUCCCUAUUGCAGAGAGUCAGUGGCUGGUGGAAACUGACAUACAUAACGUGAUGAAUUACCUCCUUGAGCUUUUGCUGUGAACGACUCGGUUCAGUAGCAGCAAACGGGAAAACCGUUAUUUUAUCAAGUGAAGGAUACUUGUGUCCUUAAGUUGGGUGGUACCGCGUGUUAGACGUCCCUGCA
This 217-nucleotide non-coding RNA is filed under the name Bacillus sp. (in: firmicutes). RNAcentral's name for it is "Bacillus sp. T-box sequence". It matches the Rfam family "T-box leader". Rfam says of the family: Uncharged tRNA acts as the effector for transcription antitermination of genes in the T-box leader family. T-boxes are found upstream of many aminoacyl-tRNA synthetase genes and some amino acid biosynthetic genes usually in Gram-positive bacteria. The record is from RNAcentral. Lineage: Bacteria; Bacillati; Bacillota; Bacilli; Caryophanales; Bacillaceae.